Molecule: ribosomal RNA, 426 nt
Filed under: uncultured prokaryote
Description: bacterial SSU rRNA
Rfam family: Bacterial small subunit ribosomal RNA
Source: RNAcentral
UGGGGAAUUUUCCGCAAUGGGCGAAAGCCUGACGGAGCAAUACCGCGUGAGGGAGGAAGGCUUUUGGGUUGUAAACCUCUUUUCUCAAGGAAGGAGAUCUGACGGUACUUGAGGAAUCAGCAUCGGCUAACUCCGUGCCAGCAGCCGCGGUAAUACGGAGGAUGCAAGCGUUAUCCGGAAUGAUUGGGCGUAAAGCGUCUGCAGGUGGCUAUGCAAGUCUGCUGUUAAAGAGUGGAGCUCAACUCCAUAAGGGCAGUGGAAACUGCGUAACUAGAGUACGUUCGGGGUAGAGGGAAUUCCUGGUGUAGCGGUGAAAUGCGUAGAUAUCAGGAAGAACACCGAUAGCGAAGGCAGCUUACUAGACAGUAACUGACGCUGAGGCACGAAAGCGUGGGGAGCGAACGGGAUUAGAUACCCCUGUAGUCC